Non-coding RNA from Phalacrocorax carbo (great cormorant), 1851 nucleotides. Lineage: Eukaryota; Metazoa; Chordata; Aves; Suliformes; Phalacrocoracidae. The record is from RefSeq and is a predicted model, not a curated record.
GAGAGAGACCGCAGGCGGCUUCUCCAGCAUUAUAAUACCCACUGAUGCUGGCUGAGCAUGCCAUUUCUAGAUGUCAUCCAGGCCCCUGCUGCACUUUGUCCCCUGUGAGUGUGAGCACUGAAGAACUUUCUGCUUUUGUAGCCUGCUGCUGAGAUGCAUCUCGUUUUCUCUUUUGAGGAAAAGCUUAGAGAUGGAAUCUUUCUGAUGUACCAGGGAAUUCUCUUCUCAGAUUGGAAAGUGAGAACAUUUCAUCCUUGUGAAGUCUUCAUUUGUAAAAUCAAGAUUACCAGGCCAUUGGCAGCAGUGCUCUACUAGUUAUGCUGCUCCGGACCAAGUCCCACAGUAAUGGUGGGUACAAAGCAAACUUAAAAUAAGUCACAACUCAAGAUUCGUUGUGUCCUGAAGAACAGUUUUAUGGGGCAGCCAGCAAUUGCUACGCUGAGUAUCUGGCUGCCAGACCUGGUACCCUGUGCAGUUCUCCAAGGGAUGCCCCCACAGCACCCAAGUUCACGGAGCCAGAGCACCUCCUGCCCACUGGAGAGAUCCACAAACUGCCAGUCGCUUUCAUAAAGCAGGAGGGAUGCUUUGUUAUAUUUUUAUAUUUUCAUUCCAGUCCAACACCUUCUUCCUUCUUUGUUUCCUCACUGGCUAGUGCAAUUUUUUCAGCACUAGAUGUCAGUGUGGACUUGUGAUACCAGAUUGCUCUGUAUUUUUCCUUUAACAAGAGAAGAAUUGCCAUCCAGAAUGAAAUCAAGUCUCUCCAGCCUCAUGACGUGCUUCCUACAAAACCGGUCUUGUCUUUACUGUUCAAAUUCCACGUGGAAAGGGUGGAACCACAUUCUGUCCUUGACUGGGAUUAAUACAGCUGCAAAAGGGCCCUAUCUGUUUUGUGAUUAUACCACAUUUGAGUUAAAGAGGAGCUACCAUGACUCUGGAGGAAAAGCUUUGUUUAGAAAAUAAUAGAGAAAAAGAAAGUUUCUGAAUUAUCUUGACAAAUUGUGACCCUGCUAAGGUAGCAUUGUACAGGUGCUCCACAGGGAUGGCUAACCCUAACUAACGGUACUCAUCUCAACAAGAACCUUCUGAUGAGACCGAGCCUUUGCAUUCCUGUCUGAUGAGACUGAGUCUUUGCAUUCCUAUUGUCUAGAAAGACAUUCCAUCAUUUAGAAAUGUUUUGCUACACCAGGCUGUUACAAGGACUGUUCUAACUUGAACCUGGUUUAUUAUUAUUAGCCUGGUAUUUUCUGAAUACUAAACUGAAACCAGCUUGGGGCAGAGCAACCGACCAGGAAGUGCAUGAUGGCUUUCUGAAGUGGUGAAAUGACUGGUUUCUAUCACCCUUCAGAAAACGUUUCGUUUCUUUAACAAAUUUAACUCCCUCAGUCUAAAUGGUGAGUGGUCCCUGUGCUAUUAUGGGAGGGCUGAGGAAGAUGCCUCAAGCACCCUGACUCCCCUCACUUUGCAAGCAGCAAUCUAGAACAAGACACUGCUCCUCUUGCUCCUGGGGAAGUACAAACUGGGGAAGAGCAGAGCGGGGAGAGGAGGAAGCGGGUUCACAAUUCUGAUUUCUCAUCUUUUACUUUCAUGGGUUCUGGCUUCUGUCAAGUGGAUCUGAGCCAGCACGACAGAUGGAGCCUUUUACACCACCUUCGUGCUUGGUUUACACCAGGCGUGAUGCACAGAAGCCGAGGCAGAAAACGUUUCUGGCAGAGAACGCAAAGCGGAGCUCUCUGACAUUCCUCCUGACUCGGUAGAGUUGCGGCUGCGAUCUAGGCCUUCAGAAAAAAUCCAGUUACGUGCUUUUGUAUUCUUCACUAUGCAUUAACUGAUAAAGUAUUACCCUCACACAUA